Molecule: long non-coding RNA, 500 nt
Organism: Beta vulgaris subsp. vulgaris (sugar beet)
Lineage: Eukaryota; Viridiplantae; Streptophyta; Magnoliopsida; Caryophyllales; Amaranthaceae
Exons: 3
Source: RefSeq, a predicted model, not a curated record
AAAGAUGAUUUUAAGAUGAUUUCAAGGAAUACAUUGAAAUGUGAUGUGGUGAAGAUGUUCAACAAUGAGAGAGGUUCUCUUAAGGCUUUGUUAGUUGCUAACGAGGGUAGAGUGGGGAUAACAACUGAUAUGUGGACUGCCUCCAACCAAAAAAAGGGGUAUAUGGCCGUGACAUCCCACUUCAUUGAUGAUAAGUGGAUUUUGCAUAAUCGAACAAUAAGGCACACUUGAUGGAAAGAAUUUGUCAUACACAAUUAAUGAAGAUUGUGAUUAUGAUAAUGAAGCUCAAGAUAUCAUUGACAUGGAUGUUGAUGAUGUUAGUAGUGAUGAAGAAUAGUCCUCCUGAAGUCUUGGACUCUUGGUAGAUGUACCAAGUGAAGAAUGAAAGAUGUAAAAUUGCAAAGUGCAAACUAUGUUUUAAUUGUUUGUAAGAAUUGUAGACUUUGUAAUAUUAUUGAAGUUUGUUAAACUCUUAAUGUUAUUUAUUUUGGAUUUGAAAC